UACGAAGGUGGCAAGCGUUACUCGGAAUUACUAGGCGUAAAGGGCAGGUAGGUGGUUUGGUAAGUCUAUUGUGAAAGCUCCCGGCUUAACUGGGAGAGGCCAAUGGAUACUGCCAAGCUUGAGUAUAGGAGAGGUUACUGGAAUUCCCGGUGUAGCGGUGAAAUGCGCAGAUAUCGGGAGGAACACCAAUGGCGAAAGCAGGUAACUGGACUAUUACUGACACUCAACUGCGAAAGCUAGGGGAGCAAACAGG
This 253-nucleotide ribosomal RNA is filed under the name uncultured bacterium. RNAcentral describes it as "partial 16S ribosomal RNA". It matches the Rfam family "Bacterial small subunit ribosomal RNA", at positions 524 to 776 of the family's 1533-position model. The record is from RNAcentral.